CCCUUAGAUGUUCUGGGCUGCACGCGCGCUACACUGAAGCGUUCAACGAGUAUUCACCUUGCCCGGGAGGGUUGGGUAAUCUUUUGAAAACGCUUCGUGAUGGGGAUAGAUUAUUGCAAUUAUUAAUCUUCAACGAGGAAUUCCUAGUAAGCGCGAGUCAUCAGCUCGUGCUGAUUACGUCCCUGCCCUUUGUACACACCGCCCGUCGCUCCUACCGAUUGAAUGGUCCGGUGAAGCGUUCGGACCGUGGCCUUUGGACGGUUCGCCGUCUGUUGGCUGCGGGAAGUUCGUUAAACCUUNUNAUUUAUNGGAAGGAGAANUCGUANCA
RNAcentral lists this ribosomal RNA (328 nucleotides) under uncultured eukaryote. RNAcentral's name for it is "partial 18S ribosomal RNA". It matches the Rfam family "Eukaryotic small subunit ribosomal RNA", at positions 1470 to 1796 of the family's 1831-position model. The record is from RNAcentral.